CCCAGACUCCUACGGGAGGCAGCAGUGAGGAAUAUUGGUCAAUGGGCGGAAGCCUGAACCAGCCAAGUCGCGUGAGGGAAUAAGGCCCUACGGGUCGUAAACCUCUUUUGCCGGGGAGCAAGGGCCGGGACGAGUCCCGGUCCGGAGAGUACCCGGAGAAAAAGCAUCGGCUAACUCCGUGCCAGCAGCCGCGGUAAUACGGAGGAUGCGAGCGUUAUCCGGAUUUAUUGGGUUUAAAGGGUGCGCAGGCGGAUUUUUAAGUCAGCGGUAAAAUCGUGGGGCUCAACCCCAUCCAGCCGUUGAAACUGGGGAUCUAGAGUGUGCGAGAGGUAUGCGGAAUGCGUGGUGUAGCGGUGAAAUGCAUAGAUAUCACGCAGAACUCCGAUUGCGAAGGCAGCAUACCGGCGCCCAACUGACGCUGAAGCACGAAAGCGUGGGUAUCGAACAGGAUUAGAUACCCCUGUAAA
This 467-nucleotide ribosomal RNA is filed under the name uncultured bacterium. RNAcentral describes it as "bacterial SSU rRNA". It matches the Rfam family "Bacterial small subunit ribosomal RNA", at positions 330 to 794 of the family's 1533-position model. The record is from RNAcentral.